GACGAACGCUGGCGGCAUGCCUAACACAUGCAAGUCUAGGGGUAGCAAUACCACUGGCGCACGGGUGAGUAACACGUAGGUUAUCUGCCCCCAUCACAGACAUAACCCCGGGAAACCGGGGCUAAUAUCUGAUGAGGUCGCGAGAUCAAAGCUUCGGCGGAUGGGGAUGAGCCUGCGGCUGAUUAGCUAGUUGGUGAGGUAAUGGCUCACCAAGGCGACGAUCAGUAGCUGGUCUGAGAGGACGAACAGCCACACUGGAACUGAGACACGGUCCAGACUCCUACGGGAGGCAGCAGUGAGGAAUAUUGGUCAAUGGGAGCAAUCCUGAACCAGCAAUGCCGCGUGUGGGAUGACAGGGCUUCGCCUUGUAAACCACUGUCGGACGGGACGAAAGGAGGCCUCGGGCCUCUGGGACGGUACCGUCAAAGGAAGGGUCGGCUAACUACGUGCCAGCAGCCGCGGUAA
Molecule: ribosomal RNA, 465 nt
Filed under: uncultured bacterium
Lineage: Bacteria
Description: bacterial SSU rRNA
Rfam family: Bacterial small subunit ribosomal RNA
Source: RNAcentral